CAGAUCUACUAAGAGAAGACCCACUCCACCUCUCAGAAUGCCCUACUCCCUGUGGAGGGACCUGCUCAAGUGGUGACCCAUAGACAAAGCCUUAAGAUAAGCUUUCCCCUUAACAAAACACCGGGCUCUUGAAGUCUUGGGAAAAUACCAGAAACCUGGCAAGGCUGGGGGCACCAUCAGUGUUUCCACCUUUGGACAACUGUUAACAAAAUCGAGGAGUUGGCACGGAAAUCCAUCUGCUCGGCUGGGAUCUCCUUCAGGUCGUCUUCCGAGAGGGUCUUGGUACUCACCUUCUUCCCCAGGAGGUCCCGGAAGUCCAGCUGCUCCACCUCCUGCUGGCGGAUCGCCUCCUCAGUGUGCUGCCUCGUCUCCACGCGCCUCUUCAGCACCCCUCGCACGUCCUCGCCGUCUUCCUCCUCUGGCCAACCCUGCCCUCUUGCUGGCCAGCCAGGCCUCAGGGUCCCAUAGCGGUCACUACCACCACCAUCAGCACCAACUCCUCCACCACAGAGGCCCUCACAGCUGGCAGGCUCCCUCCCCCUGCAACCAGUGAAGGGA
Long non-coding RNA from Piliocolobus tephrosceles (Ugandan red Colobus), 558 nucleotides. RefSeq lists it as uncharacterized. Lineage: Eukaryota; Metazoa; Chordata; Mammalia; Primates; Cercopithecidae. The transcript has 3 exons. The record is from RefSeq and is a predicted model, not a curated record.